AUAUUCAAGCAAGAUUUUUGACACAAUUACUCUGAAAUACAACAAAGGUCAGAGUUAAAAUAGAACUCAACAACAACAACAACGGUUAUUUGUGGAUCAAGGGAUACAGUGUUUGUAGGGAGAGAGUGACAAGGUCUUUCCAGAAACAUGAUGCUUUCUGCAAAUUUCCUCCCACCAGAGUGACCCCGUGAUCUACAGAGUGAAUCCUGCAGACCAUACCAGGUAUGCAGUCCCGAAAGUCUUUUUUCCUUCUAUGGUGAGGGUGACUGGCUAAUAUCUUUGUAAAUCUAUCAAAGCAAUUUUUUUUAU
RNAcentral lists this long non-coding RNA (309 nucleotides) under Mus pahari (shrew mouse). RNAcentral's name for it is "lncRNA (MGP_PahariEiJ_G0004924.1)". Lineage: Eukaryota; Metazoa; Chordata; Mammalia; Rodentia; Muridae. The record is from RNAcentral.